UACGUAGGUGGCAAGCGUUGUCCGGAUUUACUGGGCGUAAAGAGCGCGCAGGCGGUCGUUCAAGUCGCGUGUGAAAGCCCCCGGCUCAACUGGGGAGGGUCACGCGAUACUGAUCGACUCGAAGGCAGGAGAGGGUAGUGGAAUUCCCGGUGUAGAGGUGAAAUUCGUAGAUAUCGGGAGGAACACCGGUGGCGAAGGCGGCGACCUGGGACAAUACUGACGCUGAGGUGCGAAAGCGUGGGGAGCAAACAGG
RNAcentral lists this ribosomal RNA (253 nucleotides) under uncultured bacterium. RNAcentral's name for it is "partial 16S ribosomal RNA". It matches the Rfam family "Bacterial small subunit ribosomal RNA", at positions 524 to 776 of the family's 1533-position model. The record is from RNAcentral.